Molecule: ribosomal RNA, 462 nt
Filed under: uncultured bacterium
Lineage: Bacteria
Description: partial 16S ribosomal RNA
Rfam family: Bacterial small subunit ribosomal RNA
Source: RNAcentral
GACGAACGCUGGCGGCGUGCUUAACACAUGCAAGUCGAACGGAAAGGCCCUUCGGGGUACUCGAGUGGCGAACGGGUGAGUAACACGUGGGUGAUCUGCCCUGCACUUUGGGAUAAGCCUGGGAAACUGGGUCUAAUACCGAAUAGGACCACGCGCUUCAUGGUGUGUGGUGGAAAGCUUUUGCGGUGUGGGAUGGGCCCGAGGCCUAUCAGCUUGUUGGUGGGGUAAUGGCCUACCAAGGCGACGACGGGUAGCCGGCCUGAGAGGGUGACCGGCCACACUGGGACUGAGAUACGGCCCAGACUCCUACGGGAGGCAGCAGUGGGGAAUAUUGCACAAUGGGCGCAAGCCUGAUGCAGCGACGCCGCGUGAGGGAUGACGGCCUUCGGGUUGUAAACCUCUUUCAAUAGGGACGAAGCGCAAGUGACGGUACCUAUAGAAGAAGCACCGGCCAACUACGUG